UGCCAGCCGCCGCGGUAAUACGGAGGGGGUUAGCGUUGUUCGGAAUUACUGGGCGUAAAGCGCACGUAGGCGGAUUAGUAAGUUAGGGGUGAAAUCCCGGGGCUCAACCCCGAGACGCCAUCCGAUACUGCGCUGACUUGAAUCCAGUAGGGGAGUGUGGAAUUCCUGGUGUAGCGGUGAAAUGCGCAGAUAUCAGGAGGAACACCUAUGGCGAAGGCAGCACUCUGGGCUGGUAUUGACGCUGAGGAGCGAAAGCAUGGGUAGCAAACAGGAUUAGAUA
This 280-nucleotide ribosomal RNA is filed under the name uncultured bacterium. RNAcentral's name for it is "partial 16S ribosomal RNA". It matches the Rfam family "Bacterial small subunit ribosomal RNA", at positions 506 to 784 of the family's 1533-position model. The record is from RNAcentral.